UGAUUAACCGGUCUGAGUUUCAUCUUUUUUUUAAAUAUAAUCGACAGCUCCUGCCUCGUUCGUUUAAAAAAACAUCAAUCAUCGAGAAUCUGACAUGUCUGAUACUAAAUAAUGCACUGCGAAAAGGAAGGGAAGAGAGAAGCACACAAGAUUUAGCAUGCAUGUACCUCUUGAAGUCCUUCACACACAAACACAGGAUACAAAAGCAUGGAUAACCAGGACACAACACGAUGACUGCAACAAGAACAAGCCAGAGUUUGGUCAUACCAUUAAACAACCAUCCAC
RNAcentral lists this long non-coding RNA (285 nucleotides) under Setaria viridis. RNAcentral describes it as "long non-coding RNA (SVIR_LNC005348)". The record is from RNAcentral. Lineage: Eukaryota; Viridiplantae; Streptophyta; Magnoliopsida; Poales; Poaceae.